This 84-nucleotide non-coding RNA is filed under the name Acinetobacter guillouiae NIPH 991. Lineage: Bacteria; Pseudomonadati; Pseudomonadota; Gammaproteobacteria; Moraxellales; Moraxellaceae. The record is from RNAcentral.
CGUUGCGGUAGGGCGGGAGAGGGACACCUUCGGGUGUGCUGGGGUCGAACCAGUCUGUCAACCUUCUUUCGUUCUGCCACCAUA